AAAAGAGGCACAGAGGCCAUGGCACAGAGGCCAUGCCUCCAUCACUAGGUUCAGAGGACAUACCUCUCUAAAUUAUGACUGUAGGUACAGCGGACAUGCGUCCUUCACUAGGACUGACAGGUACAGAGGACACACCUCCUUCACUAGGACUGACAGGUACAGAGGACAUGCCUCCUUCAAUCGGACGGACAGAUACAGAGGACACACCUCCUUCACUAGGACGGACACAUACAGAGGACACGCCUCCUUCACUAGGACGGACAGAUACAGAGGACACACCUUCACUAAGACUGACAGGUACAGAGGACACACCUCCUUCAAUAGGACAGACAGAUACAGAGGACACACCUCCUUCACUAGGACGGACACAUACAGAGGACACGCCUCCUUCACUAGGACGGACAGAUACAGAGGACACACCUCCUUCACUAAGACUGACAGGUACAGAGGACACACCUCCUUCACUAUACCUGAAAGGUACAGAUGACACGCCUCCUUAACUAGGACUGACAGGUACAGAGGACAUGCCUCUCUCACUUUGACUGACAGGUACAGAGGACACACCUCCUUCGCUAGGACUGACAGGUACAGACAUAUAGGCCACACCUCCUUCACUGUACAGGACAGCUGUAAGGCCAUGCCCCCUUUGUGGGACUGACAGACAUUUAGGCCACACCUCUUUCACAGUUGACAGAUAUAUAGACCAUGCCUUUUUAAGUGGGCUGAAUCAGUUUUUAUACUCCUACUAUAAAAUGUUUGAUCACCACAAGAACAAUGAUACAGUUUUGUUUGUGUGUGUGUGUGUGUGUGUGUGUGUGUGUGUGUGUGUGGGGCAGAAAGCGAAUUAUGAACUCAUGUCUUCCUGAAUGCUUGUGAAAUGACUCGCAGUCACAGUGUGAAUGUCUAAACAAAGAGUGUAUUGAUGUGUCACAUGUGAGACAUUCCUCUCCUCACAGCCAGUCCAGUCCAUCAACUCAACAGCUCACACAUGGCCACACAAACACAAAAACACACAGUGUAAGGUGCGUUUCACACGAACCCACACACAUUACCGGGGUGUGUAUGCUGUGCAUGCUG
Long non-coding RNA from Ictalurus punctatus (channel catfish), 1077 nucleotides. The record is from Ensembl. NCBI's taxonomy places the organism in Eukaryota, Metazoa, Chordata, Actinopteri, Siluriformes, Ictaluridae.